GAUGAACGCUGGCGGCGUGCCUAAUACAUGCAAGUCGAGCGAACGGACGAGAAGCUUGCUUCUCUGAUGUUAGCGGCGGACGGGUGAGUAACACGUGGAUAACCUACCUAUAAGACUGGGAUAACUUCGGGAAACCGGAGCUAAUACCGGAUAAUAUUUUGAACCGCAUGGUUCAAAAGUGAAAGACGGUCUUGCUGUCACUUAUAGAUGGAUCCGCGCUGCAUUAGCUAGUUGGUAAGGUAACGGCUUACCAAGGCAACGAUGCAUAGCCGACCUGAGAGGGUGAUCGGCCACACUGGAACUGAGACACGGUCCAGACUCCUACGGGAGGCAGCAGUAGGGAAUCUUACGCAAUGGGCGGAAGCCUGACGGAGCAACGCCGCGUGAGUGAUGAAGGUCUUCGGAUCGUAAAAAUCUGUUAUUAGGGAAGAACAUAUGUGUAAGUAACUGUGCACAUCUUGACGGUACCUAAUAAGAAAGCCACGGCUAACUACGUG
RNAcentral lists this ribosomal RNA (497 nucleotides) under uncultured bacterium. Its description in RNAcentral is "partial 16S ribosomal RNA". It matches the Rfam family "Bacterial small subunit ribosomal RNA", at positions 28 to 507 of the family's 1533-position model. The record is from RNAcentral.